Molecule: ribosomal RNA, 900 nt
Filed under: Bradyrhizobium sp.
Lineage: Bacteria; Pseudomonadati; Pseudomonadota; Alphaproteobacteria; Hyphomicrobiales; Nitrobacteraceae
Description: bacterial SSU rRNA
Rfam family: Bacterial small subunit ribosomal RNA
Source: RNAcentral
ACAUGCAAGUCGAGCGGGCAUAGCAAUAUGUCAGCGGCAGACGGGUGAGUAACGCGUGGGAACGUACCUUUUGGUUCGGAACACCUGAGGGAAACUUCAGCUAAUACCGGAUAAGCCCUUACGGGGAAAGAUUUAUCGCCGAAAGAUCGGCCCGCGUCUGAUUAGCUAGUUGGUGAGGUAAUGGCUCACCAAGGCGACGAUCAGUAGCUGGUCUGAGAGGAUGAUCAGCCACAUUGGGACUGAGACACGGCCCAAACUCCUACGGGAGGCAGCAGUGGGGAAUAUUGGACAAUGGGCGCAAGCCUGAUCCAGCCAUGCCGCGUGAGUGAUGAAGGCCCUAGGGUUGUAAAGCUCUUUUGUGCGGGAAGAUAAUGACGGUACCGCAAGAAUAAGCCCCGGCUAACUUCGUGCCAGCAGCCGCGGUAAUACGAAGGGGGCUAGCGUUGCUCGGAAUCACUGGGCGUAAAGGGUGCGUAGGCGGGUCUUUAAGUCAGGGGUGAAAUCCUGGAGCUCAACUCCAGAACUGCCUUUGAUACUGAAGAUCUUGAGUUCGGGAGAGGUGAGUGGAACUGCCAGUGUAGAGGUGAAAUUCGUAGAUAUUCGCAAGAACACCACUGGCGAAGGCGGCUCACUGGCCCGAUACUGACGCUGAGGCACGAAAGCGUGGGGAGCAAGCAGGAUUAGAUACCCUGGUAGUCCACGCCGGAAACGAUGAAUGCCAGCCGUCAGUGGGUUUACUCCCUAGUGGCGCAGCUAACGCUCUAAGCAUUCCCCCUGGGGAGUACGGUCGCUAGAAUUAAACUCAAAGGAAUUGACGGGGGCCCGCACAAGCCGUGGAGCAUGUGGUUUAAUUCUACGCAACGCGCAGAACCUUACCAGCCCUUGACAUUCCGGUCGCGG